Long non-coding RNA from Salvia miltiorrhiza (redroot sage), 1382 nucleotides. RefSeq lists it as uncharacterized. NCBI's taxonomy places the organism in Eukaryota, Viridiplantae, Streptophyta, Magnoliopsida, Lamiales, Lamiaceae. The record is from RefSeq and is a predicted model, not a curated record. The transcript has 2 exons.
GCCAAUUGCAACAACAAUUUUGCAACUCUUGGUUGAUUAAUCCAAUUAAUCUGCGUCCUUAAAUCAUUCUUGGUCGCUUUGCGUUCAAAAAUAAUUUAAGCAAGUCAACCCCAUCACACGGUGCCAACCUAUGAAUGAGUCUUGGCCUUGUCGAUUUAGAGCAUACAAUUUUAUGUAAAUACCCUUGGACGAAAAUGUUAGGUACUCAAACAAUUAUGAUGGACGACGCGUUUUGUGCUUUGCACAAAGACUUAUAUUUAAUGGGGAUUUAGCAUGUGAUAGCAAUUGCUUAUAUUUAAUAUCCAAUAUUAAAUAGCAAAGCAAUUACUGGGUGCCGCCUACUCAGGCAUAUAAAAUGCGGACCACACAUAUUGGGCGCCGCCUACCCAUACAUAGCAAAGCGGACUACAUAUACUGGGCGCUGCCUACCCAAGAUAAAAGCGGUCUUUAACUACUAUAGUUAAAUAAUAAGCAUAAAAUCAAAUAGCAUGCUUAUCACAUAAAGACAUAAAACCUCUACGAAUAAAAUCAUUAAUCAAAUUAAUAUUUAAUUUUCUAAUUAAAUAUGGGUUAAUCAAUUUAUAUUAAUUCUAAAUUAAUAUAACCUUAUUUCUAUUAUUAUUAGUUCAAAAUUAAUAACAAUAAUUUAAAUUUAUUAAUCCAAUUAAUAAAUUAAUUUUGAAAUUUGGGGUUCAAUUAUUAAUUCAAAAUUAAUAAAAGUUUUUUUUUUUUUUUUAUGUCACAGCCCCAAAUGGGCAUUUAAUAAAAUGCAGGCCCAGCCCCAUUUAUUAUGUCAAUUUCGCAACCCAUGGAAGUCCACAGCAGCAGCCCACAAAAGGAACAGGCCCAGCCUUUGAACACUGCAGCCCAACAACUCCUCUUGGCCCAAAACCCAAUUUUCAGCAGCAAGGGUUUGAGAAAAGGAUUUGCAGCAGCAGCUGCCGUCUCCUUUCUCGUCACCACGCCGCCGCCGCUCGAAGCCACGAUGCAGACGACGUCGCGCGACCUCGUAAGCGACGACGUCUCCAGACGCUUGCCUGCGUCCUCACCGUUUCUCGGCCAUUCCGGCGGAAGGAGCAUGAAGCUCCUCGUCGCCGUUUACAGCCGUGGAUCCGCCGCCUCCAGCGUGCAAGACCUCCACCAACAGUCGCCCUCCAUUUUUCUGACUCCAAGCCCGAGAUGGCGGGACUGCCACAGGGAUGCAGCGGCGCGUCGGCUUGAAGCAUAUGAUUGAGGGCCCGCAGAAAUGCCUUUCCAAGGGAGACUUUGUCAUUUCGUCCUCCACUUGCAAAAAUAAAGUAGAUAAUCCAUUGGCUUUAUUGUAAAAGGAAAACAUAUGGUUGGUCAAUAAUGAAUAGUUUAUCUCUCUGUCUUCUAAACUA